This 548-nucleotide ribosomal RNA is filed under the name Pichia pseudolambica. Its description in RNAcentral is "[Candida] pseudolambica partial large subunit ribosomal RNA". It matches the Rfam family "Eukaryotic large subunit ribosomal RNA", at positions 81 to 656 of the family's 3401-position model. The record is from RNAcentral. Lineage: Eukaryota; Fungi; Ascomycota; Pichiomycetes; Pichiales; Pichiaceae.
CAGUAGCGGCGAGUGAAGCGGCAAGAGCUCAGAUUUGGAAUCGUGUUUCGGCACGAGUUGUAAAUUGCAGGUUGGAGUCUUUGUGGAAGCGUGUGUCCAAGUCCCUUGGAACAGGGCGCCAUUGAGGGUGAGAGCCCCGUGGGAUGCGCGCGGAAGCAACAAGGCCCUUCUGACGAGUCGAGUUGUUUGGGAAUGCAGCUCUAAGCGGGUGGUAAAUUCCAUCUAAGGCUAAAUACUGGCGAGAGACCGAUAGCGAACAAGUACUGUGAAGGAAAGAUGAAAAGCACUUUGAAAAGAGAGUGAAACAGCACGUGAAAUUGUUGAAAGGGAAGGGUAUUGGGCCCGACAUGGGGAUUGCGCAUCUCUGCUCCUUGUGGGCGGGGCGCUGUGCUUUUCCUGGGCCAGCAUCGGUUUUUGCCGCAGGAGAAGGGGUACUGGAAUGUGGCUCCUCGGAGUGUUAUAGCCAGUGCCAGAUGCUGCGUGCGGGGACCGAGGGCUGCGACAUCUGUCUCGGAUGCUGGCACAACGGCGCAAUACCGCCCGUCUUA